This is an RNA transcript of Ostrinia nubilalis (European corn borer), 3496 nucleotides long. RefSeq lists it as uncharacterized. The record is from RefSeq and is a predicted model, not a curated record. NCBI's taxonomy places the organism in Eukaryota, Metazoa, Arthropoda, Insecta, Lepidoptera, Crambidae. The transcript has 6 exons.
UUUGUUAUUGAAUCGAUUGUGCCGGCUGUUGAAUUAAAUUUGUUUAUCUUCUAAUUUUAGCAAUCAUGUGUAAAGUGAUUCUAGGCUACUUAUUAUUAAGCAUAUGUUUUCAUUUUAACCAGUGUAAUAAUCGUGUCGGGCCAGAUCCGUGGGAUUUGAUUCAAGACGAAACAUCAACUGACACUCAUGAUGGAAAGAUUCCUCCAGACCUUCGAUUACCACCAAAAAGGAAAAUACAAACCAAUGGAAACAUGGCAAACGGAGAGUGGUUUUUCAAGAGAACUCUUGCAAUCAUUUUGAAUGCUGGACAAACAAAGUUAAACGAAGAUGGCAGUACCGAUAUAUCCCUGCUGUUAAAAUUCGACCAGGAUCAUUGGCAAACCCUGAAGGACUACACAACAUCAAACACUGCACUGACUGAAGAUAUGUUUCGCCGUGCAGUUGCCUAUGUAGAAGAAGCUGUUUACAAACCUUCUCUUGCACAGAAAGUUGCUAUAGCAUGGAGUGAAUAUAUUCAGUCGUUAUUCUUAGAAUACAAGACUUAUAUCACAUGGUGUUGUGGAGGUUUAGCAGCAUUUGGUGUGUUGUUUUGGCUGUGGAUGCACAUGUCUCAUAAACAUGUUAUCAUACUAGUCAUUGCUGCAUUGUAUCUUUAUGAAGUAGUCAUAUCAUAUAAGGAAGCAGAGAAACAAGAAUUGGACAGAUUUCUAUCAGCUGUAAAUAAAUGCAGCUGGCAUUUUUGGAAAUCUUCAUGUGAAGUCCCUCCACCUGAUCCUAUAAUAUUCAUGAAGCACAUGAAUCCACUAAAAAUUGGCAUUAGAAUGUUCACCACAUUUCUGUCUGAACCUAUGUUGGUGCUGAGUAGUACAGUCAAUACAAUGAUAAAUGAAAUCACAGGUGGACUCUGGUUCCCGCUGGAUGUAAUAUUACACUGUAUAUUAAUUAUAUCUAUAAAUAUUAUGCUGAUAGUAUUGCUAGUCAUGAUUAUUUUUAAUUACAUACUUAACAUUCCCUUCAGCCUAAAUCUAUUUGGCUUGAUGAGUAUUGGAGUAAGACAACGUAAACAUACACUAAAUGUAGACACAAGCAACAAUUCUCCAUCAAACGGAAAUACAGAUAGAAUAAGCAGUGCUACGUUAGAAAGGAUAUUGGACGUGUGCUCCCGCGCUCUAGAUACUACGCGAAAUGUACCACAAAUUGCACCAACCACAUCUUUUAGUCCCAUCUCCACAAUUAAAAGGUCUGCGAGUACUGGACGCCUGCCUAGCUCGUCAGUAAAUAGUUAUGAUGCCCCCGAAUCCACGACAAGGAAAAGGACUAAGCCCUUAUUUAUGAUUGGUGGUGGUGACAGUCGUAAAUAAUCUAAAGACGUUAUUGGCUUGGCAAAUAUAAGGAACUGAAAAUUUAAAAGAAGGACUUGACACCCUAAAUACACUACUACCUACCAUGUAUCUACCUACUAUGUAUAACACUUGUUUAUUUAGUUUUAUAAAGUUGUUGAUUUAAAAAAAAAAAAACUUAAGUAAAGUUUUCAACUUUAAGAAACUAUUCUAAGAAAUCUAAGUCAGAUUACGUUUUAUUGUUCAAUAACGUUCGAAAUAGACUUAAAUAGUCGCUAAUCGUUUAAUGCUAAAAGUAAACUAAUUAUUAGAGAUGAAACGGAUAGUUGUUUGGCCGGAUACCGGAUACCGGAUAUCCGGCCAGCUGCUAGGCCGGAUAGCCGGAUAUCCGGCGGCCGGAUAGUUGGCCCAUUGUCUCGUUGCAUGUCGUGACGAGUUGAGCGCCGCACAGGUGCUUCGAACGCGAUCAGUGGGUCUAUUAGUAGACUAGACUAGUCACACUUUUCGAAAAUCGAAUCCGUCCGAAUAUAGUGUCAGAUUUUGCCACUUGUCAGGGGGCAGAUCAAUUCGGGUGAUUUCGGUUGCUAUCGUGAGUGUGUGAUUGAAUAGCGAAAAUUAAAUUAGUUUACUUGUUGCGUAAUCUGACUGAACUGCAUCAUGUCAUCAGACCAUCAGUGAAGAAGAGAUCGCCUUUUUUAUUUGCAAUAUUUCGAUAUUAACAGAUAUUUACUAUUUAUGUUUAUUAGAGUGAAUAAAUAGCCCAGAAAGAGAAAUUAGUUUUUUGAAAGGCUUUAAAUAUUUUUAUUUUUUUAAAUAAAUAUCCUUGGACAUUUUUACACUGCGCCUCUAGUCCCAAACUAAGCAAAGCUUGUACUAUGGGUACUAGACAACGGAUAUAAACAUACUUAAAUACUUUUUUUUUGUAAAUACAUACAUAUUAUACAUAGAAAACACCCAGACCCGUCACAGAAAUUGAAAUUUAUCGUUUCAAUUUCUGCCCGGCCGGGAAUCGAACCUGGGACCUCUCGGCAUAGUAGUCCGUUCUGAACCACUACACCAAACGGCCGACUAAACUUUAAUAUGGCUUUUGUAACUUUUUAGACUUUUUAAUGUGUUUCAUUUUAUUAAUUUAGGAAAUUGUCGUAGUUUUUUAAUAUCCGGUAUCCGGCCGGAUAGUGAGCUACUAUCCGGUAUCCGGCCGGAUAGUAAAUUUAGGCCGGAUAUCCGGCCUACCGGAUAGUUACCGGAUAUCCGUUUCAUCUCUAGUUAUAAGCGCUCGCGCUGUGAAUACUCAAAUACGUCCCAAUUGGGACGUCUUGUGUUUAGUCUUCGUGUGGCCUGCGUCGUGCGCAAUCGCGUGUGUACCACACCGUAAGUUCCUGUGUUCUUACCAAAAUAAAUAAAAAAUGCCAUCGUGUGUGUUUCGAAAGUGUACCAAUUAUGACUCUAAAGUAAACAAAAUACAAGGGAUCUCUUACCACAUGUGAUUAUGCAAAAUUAUUUAGUAUUUAUAUUUUCAAUUAUUUAUGCAAACAAUCAAGACGCCAUGCGCCAUGUUCAAGUUAAGAAAGAGAAAGCGAUCUUGUUUUGACGUUAGAGCGAUAAGGAUGCGUGCGCUGCGGACAUAGAUUAGUUAGUGCAGAAUCGUUAAAACUAUAGCUAUCUCUUUCAUUUGCGUGCUAUUUCGUAUCUUUUGUUUCACUUAUCAGUUACAUUUGUCAAUGUGUGCAAUUUGGAAUAGCUCGGCACGGAUUAAAAUCGUAAUUUCUAUGAACGUAACAUAUCUAUAGUUCUGUAAUAUCAUUGGUUGGGAUUAAUCGCUAUCCAUCUGUUAAAGAGGACACGUGAGAUCAUUAUUAUUUUGGUUUUAUAACCAUAAAAAUUGGUCUAAUUGAUUCCAUAGGUGGGCCUUAAGGUGGUAUUAAGAAAUUAAAUGUGUUUUUAUUUAAGGAUAUUUAUUGGGCUUUCAAAUAACACCAAUAUUGUUGGGGCACCAUGAUUGUGUCAGAAGAAAAUCGUUAAAAUUCGCGUCGCGGAAGGUGCGGUUUAUUUGAUGUUGAGUAUAGAAAGAAAUAAUUCUAUUUUAUAUCGGCAGACUACUGUACUGUAAAUCGUUAUUUUAUUUUUACUGACAUUAAAUAAUAUUGUUAAUAAAA